This 896-nucleotide unclassified non-coding RNA is filed under the name Hevea brasiliensis (rubber tree). Lineage: Eukaryota; Viridiplantae; Streptophyta; Magnoliopsida; Malpighiales; Euphorbiaceae. The record is from RNAcentral.
UUGUUUUGAGGAGAGAUGGAGUAGAGAUUCAGAUUUUGGAAUUGAUUGUUCGGGUUUUGGAUUUGAUUUUGCUUCAAAAUGGAAUCAGGGAAAAACUGCACAGAUUAGUCUUCAAAAGCAAUCAAAAUUGCUUAUCUUCGUUUCUUUCCGUUAUCCAAAAUGGAAGAUCCAAAUCGAAAAUCCAAGCCGUUAGAGUUCUGGAGUCAAUUUCGAUCAAUAACGAAACCAAACGCUUCGUCGCAGAAACGCAUAAUCUCAUGCCAGUUCUUUUUCAUCUCCUCAAAACAGAGAACGAUCCGGCCUUACACGACUCAGUUUUAUCUCUCUUGAUCUCAAUCGCCGUAACUCGCUCAAUCAAGAUUCAAAUCGUCCAGCUCGGACUCAUUGAAGUCCUAUCUGAAACUCUCUGCAACAAAAACGUAACCGUUUCACUCGUGGAGAAAUCCUUAAAGCUGUUAUCCAUUGUUUCGACGUGCACGGAAGGUCGAAAUGCAAUAAGCGAGGACCCGAAAUGCGCGGAGUGUAUGGUAGAGAAAUUAAUGAAGGUGACGAAAGCGGCAACGGAGGAUGUUGUAGUGGUGCUAUGGAGUUUGUGCUGUUCGUUCAGGGACGGGAAGAUGCAGGAGAAGGUGAUGAGGUGCAAUGGGUUGACCAAGUUGUUGCUGGUAAUGCAGAGUGAAGGGGAAGGGAAUGUAAGGAGGAUGUGUGCAGAUUUGGUGAAGGUUUUGAGAGUUGGGUGCAAGGAUGGUGGGGUGCUGAUGAGCUAUGAGACGAAAACGACACAUAUCAUGCCUUUUUAGAUUUGUAAUUCCGAACAGUGCCAUAUUUGAUUUUUUAUGAUUUUAGGGAGGAUGUGAAUUGGUGUUUUUGUUGACAUUAACAUACAUUCAACAAAA